GUGCCAGCAGCCGCGGUAAUACGUAGGUGGCAAGCGUUGUCCGGAUUUAUUGGGCGUAAAGCGAGCGCAGGCGGUUUCUUAAGUCUGAUGUGAAAGCCUUCGGCUCAACCGAAGAAGUGCAUCGGAAACUGGGAAACUUGAGUGCAGAAGAGGACAGUGGAACUCCAUGUGUAGCGGUGAAAUGCGUAGAUAUAUGGAAGAACACCAGUGGCGAAGGCGGCUGUCUGGUCUGUAACUGACGCUGAGGCUCGAAAGCAUGGGUAGCAAACAGGAUUAGAUACCCUGGUAGUCCAUGCCGUAAACGAUGAGUGCUAGGUGUUGGAGGGUUUCCGCCCUUCAGUGCCGCAGCUAACGCAUUAAGCACUCCGCCUGGGGAGUACGACCGCAAGGUUGAAACUCAAAGGAAUUGACGGGGGCCCGCACAAGCGGUGGAGCAUGUGGUUUAAUUCGAAGCAACGCGAAGAACCUUACCAGGUCUUGACAUCCUUUGACCACUCUAGAGAUAGAGCUUUCCCUUCGGGGACAGAGUGACAGGUGGUGCAUGGUUGUCGUCAGCUCGUGUCGUGAGAUGUUGGGUUAAGUCCCGCAACGAGCGCAACCCUUAUUACUAGUUGCCAGCAUUUAGUUGGGCACUCUAGUGAGACUGCCGGUGACAAACCGGAGGAAGGUGGGGACGACGUCAAAUCAUCAUGCCCCUUAUGACCUGGGCUACACACGUGCUACAAUGGAUGGUACAACGAGUUGCGAGACCGCGAGGUUUAGCUAAUCUCUUAAAACCAUUCUCAGUUCGGAUUGUAGGCUGCAACUCGCCUACAUGAAGCCGGAAUCGCUAGUAAUCGCGGAUCAGCAUGCCGCGGUGAAUACGUUCCCGGGCCUUGUACACACCGCCCGU
Molecule: ribosomal RNA, 892 nt
Filed under: uncultured bacterium
Lineage: Bacteria
Description: bacterial SSU rRNA
Rfam family: Bacterial small subunit ribosomal RNA
Source: RNAcentral